ACAUAUCACGUAGAAAUACCGAUUUCCGUACGGUAACCGAAGUUAAGCUAUGCCGAGACUGUUCAGAACCUAGAUGGGUGACCGCUUGGGAAUACCACGUGCUGCAA
This is a non-coding RNA of Acanthosepion pharaonis, 107 nucleotides long. NCBI's taxonomy places the organism in Eukaryota, Metazoa, Mollusca, Cephalopoda, Sepiida, Sepiidae. The record is from the annotation of a GenBank genome assembly.